RNAcentral lists this unclassified non-coding RNA (2120 nucleotides) under uncultured fungus. Its description in RNAcentral is "sequence contains 18S rRNA gene, ITS1, 5.8S rRNA gene, ITS2, 28S rRNA gene". The stretch from base 1002 to 2120 matches the Rfam family "Eukaryotic large subunit ribosomal RNA", at positions 1 to 961 of the family's 3401-position model. Lineage: Eukaryota; Fungi. The record is from RNAcentral.
GGAGGGAUCAUUAACACGUAUCCAAACGUUCCAACAAAACAAAACAAACCCCCCACCGGUUCUCCUGUUCCCCUCUUUAUGGUUCCUCCCAGCCAAAGGUGAAGGCUUAUCUUGAGCAGCGUCUGGUUACCCAACCGGUUGUAAGGGAUAGGUUGCUUCGGGACGGAUAGUCAUUGCUCAAACUACUAGGGCUGCCACAUAAGAGGAGUAUCAAAGUUCACCUGGUUACUUGUGCCACCUCAGCAUGUUCACACUUCGCUUCGGUCUUAAUGGAUGUCGAGUUGUGUGGGCUAACCUGAAGCCUUGUUUCCUUAGUAAACCCCAUUUAAACCCCUUUUUUAUAUAACUACUGAACUUAUACCAAUUAAUUGAGAUUGUAAGCUUUUGUAAUGGAGCAAGCAGUUUUGAUGGUAUAUUUACGAAACUACGCACAACUCUUAGCAACGGAUAUCUUGGUUCUCGUACCGAUGAAGAACGCAGCGAAAUGCGAUACGUAAUGCGAAUUGCAGAAUUCAGUGAAUCAUCAAAUCUUUGAACGCAAAUUGCGCUCUCGGGAUAGCCCUGGGAGCAUGCCUCUCUGAGUAUCGGUUCCACCUCAUCUUGGCAGCGUCAUAUAUAUGUUUUUUACGAAAUAUAUAUGUGAUGUGUUGGCCAGAAAAUGAGUUCGUCUGCAUCUGAAUCUUUCAGCAGACUUACUUGAAAUAUAUCAAAGCUUCAGGAACUCCCCUAGUAGACUCUAGUGUGAUAUUCAUUUAUCUUUAAAUCUAGUAGAUAGCUAUCAUAUAACACUUGCGAGUGCACUGAUUGGCUUGUUUUACUGGUGACGCGGAUAGCAAUGUAAGCCCUCGGGUGAACAUUUCAAAACGUCAAUGCCAGAUUAAAAACAAGUAUCCGUCAGGGUAUCCUCACCGAUUCAGGAAGGUGUAAUGACUGUGAAUGACUAGUCGAGCGUCCGGUUGUCUUAAUGGAAAAUAUGUGGUAACACAUAUACACUUUGAAAUAGAUCUCAGAUGAAGCAAGAAGACCCCCUGAAUUUAAGCAUAUUAUUAAGGGGAGGAAAAGAAACUAACAAGGAUUCCCCUAGUAACGGCGAGUGAAGCGGGAAGAGCUCAAAUUGAAAAUCGGGAAUCCAUGCGGGUUCUCGAAUUGUAGCCUAGAGACGUACUGUCAGCGCGUGACCCAGGUAUAAAUCUUUUGAAACAAGGUAUCAUAGAGGGUGAGAAUCCCGUCUUUGACCUGGAGAUCGCCGCGUACGACGUACGUUCGUCGAGUCGAGUUGUUUGGGAUUGCAGCUCUAAAUGGGUGGUAAAUUUCAUCUAAAGCUAAAUAUCGACGAGAGACCGAUAGCGAACAAGUACCGUGAGGGAAAGAUGAAAAGAACUUUGAAAGAGAGUUAAAAAGUACUUGAAAUUGUUAAGAGGGAAGCGCUGGAAACCAGUCAUUAUCUGUGAUUAUACUUACUAUCUGCUCUCGAAGAGUGUUGCGGACUAGAGUGUUAAAGCCUAGUCGGGCAUUGGACGAAGGGUGGGUGGGUCCUGUAGUCAUGGGUGGGUCAGAAUCAAUUCGAUUCGCGGGUGAAGUGUGUAAGAAAGGUAGGGUCCCAGGACCUGUUAUAGUCUUAUAUCUCCUACCGUGGGAUGGAUUGAGGAUGUAUAAUGUGCGCCGCAAGGUUUCGGUACUUUGCUCCUGUUGGGUUAGUUGCUUUGGAGAACAAUGUUCUGCGGGUAACGAAGCUUGACACUGAGUAGGGCUACCAGAUGCACAUUCGCGAUUCUGACGAAAUGGUUUUCAUCGACCCGUCUUGAAACACGGACCAAGGAGUCUAACAUGUAUGCGAGUAUUUGGGUGGAAACCCUGAUGCGUAAUGAAAGUGAAGGUAGCUUCGGCUGCUGAGGUAGGAAUCCCAGUAAUGGGAGGCACUAUCGACCGAUCGUCACUUGUGAUAGAUUUGAGUAAGAGCAUAUCUGUUGGGACCCGAAAGAUGGUGAUCUAUGCCUGAACAGGGUGAAGCCAGGGGAAACUCUGGUGGAGGCUCGUAGCGAUACUGACGUGCAAAUCGUUCGUCUGAUUUGGGUAUAGGGGCGAAAGACUAAUCGAACCAUCUAGUAGCUGGUUCCCUC